UUGAACGCUGGCGGCAUGCCUUACACAUGCCAGUCGAACGGUAACGGGCCUUCGGGUGCCGACGCGUGGCGAACGGGUGAGUAAUACAUCGGAACGUGCCCGAUCGUGGGGGAUAACGAGGCGAAAGCUUUGCUAAUACCGCAUACGAUCUACGGAUGAAAGCAGGGGACCGCAAGGCCUUGCGCGGACGGAGCGGCCGAUGGCAGAUUAGGUAGUUGGUGGGAUAAAAGCUUACCAAGCCGACGAUCUGUAGCUGGUCUGAGAGGAUGAUCAGCCACACUGGGACUGAGACACGGCCCAGACUCCUACGGGAGGCAGCAGUGGGGAAUUUUGGACAAUGGGCGCAAGCCUGAUCCAGCCAUGCCGCGUGCAGGAUGAAGGCCUUCGGGUUGUAAACUGCUUUUGUACGGAACGAAAAGCCUUCUUUUAAUACAGGAGGGUCAUGACGGUACCGUAAGAAUAAGCACCGGCUAACUACGUG
RNAcentral lists this ribosomal RNA (481 nucleotides) under uncultured bacterium. Its description in RNAcentral is "partial 16S ribosomal RNA". It matches the Rfam family "Bacterial small subunit ribosomal RNA", at positions 30 to 507 of the family's 1533-position model. The record is from RNAcentral.